RNAcentral lists this ribosomal RNA (255 nucleotides) under Diversispora epigaea. Lineage: Eukaryota; Fungi; Glomeromycota; Glomeromycetes; Diversisporales; Diversisporaceae. The record is from RNAcentral.
CAGUCGCGUUCUCUGGGAUUCAGCCUUGCUUCUGCUUGGUGUACUUUCUGGUUUGAUGGGCCAACAUCAAUUUUGACCGUUGGAGAAAGGCUUUGGGAAUGUGGCACCUUAGGGUGUGUUAUAGCUUCUGGUCGUAUACAUCGGUUGGGAUUGAGGAACUCAGCACGCCGCAAGGUCGGGGUUCGCCCCGACGUUCGUGCUUAGGAUGCUGGCAUAAUGGCUUUAAUCGACCCGUCUUGAAACACGGACCAAGGA